AGAUAAGACAGCUGAAUGAUAGUCGGGCUGAAGACUCUACUUGACUAGCUGAGAGGAGGUGCAUGGCCGUCGUCAGUUCGUACUGUGAAGCAUCCUGUUAAGUCAGGCAACGAGCGAGACCCACGCCAACAGUUGCCAGCUCGUCCUCCGGGAUGGUGGGGACACUGUUGGGACCGCCGCUGCUAAAGCGGAGGAAGGAAUGGGCAACGGUAGGUCAGUAUGCCCCGAAUUAUCCGGGCUACACGCGGGCUACAAUGGUCAGGACAAUGGGUAUCGACACCGAGAGGUGGAGGCAAUCUCCUAAACCUGUCCUUAGUUCGGAUUGUGGGCUGCAACUCGCCCACAUGAAGCUGGAAUCCGUAGUAAUCGCGUUUCAAAAUAGCGCGGUGAAUAUGUCCCUGCUCCUU
RNAcentral lists this ribosomal RNA (407 nucleotides) under uncultured Methanolinea sp. RNAcentral describes it as "bacterial SSU rRNA". It matches the Rfam family "Archaeal small subunit ribosomal RNA", at positions 932 to 1338 of the family's 1478-position model. Lineage: Archaea; Methanobacteriati; Methanobacteriota; Methanomicrobia; Methanomicrobiales; Methanoregulaceae. The record is from RNAcentral.